Molecule: ribosomal RNA, 589 nt
Filed under: Petasospora xylosilytica
Lineage: Eukaryota; Fungi; Ascomycota; Saccharomycetes; Phaffomycetales; Wickerhamomycetaceae
Description: eukaryotic LSU rRNA
Rfam family: Eukaryotic large subunit ribosomal RNA
Source: RNAcentral
CGGAGGAAAAGAAACCAACAGGGAUUGCCUCAGUAACGGCGAGUGAAGCGGCAAGAGCUCAAAUUUGAAAUCUAGUACCUUCGGUGCUCGAGUUGUAAUUUGAAGGUAGUUUUCUGGUGCUGGCCCUUGUCUAUGUUCCUUGGAACAGGACGUCAUAGAGGGUGAGAAUCCCGUCUGAUGGGGUGUCCAGUGCUUUGUAGAUUUCUACCGAAGAGUCGAGUUGUUUGGGAAUGCAGCUCUAAGUGGGUGGUAAAUUCCAUCUAAAGCUAAAUAUUGGCGAGAGACCGAUAGCGAACAAGUACAGUGAUGGAAAGAUGAAAAGAACUUUGAAAAGAGAGUGAAAAAGUACGUGAAAUUGUUGAAAGGGAAGGGUAUUGGAUCAGACUUGGUGUUUUGUGAUUAUCUUCCCUUCUUGGGUUGUGCACUCGCAUUUCACUGGGCCAGCAUCGAUUCGGAUGGUAAGAUAAUGGCUUGAGAACGUGGCACUCUUCGGGGUGUGUUAUAGCUCUUGUUGAUGUUGCCUAUCUGGAUCGAGGACUGCGGCUUUUGCCUAGGAUGCUGGCGUAAUGAUUCAAUACCGCCCGUCUUG